UACAGAGGUCCCAAGCGUUGUUCGGAUUCACUGGGCGUAAAGGGUGCGUAGGCGGUCGGGUAAGUCUGAUGUGAAAUCUCACAGCUUAACUGUGAAACUGCAUUGGAUACUAUCCGGCUCGAGGAAUGGAGGGGAGACUGGAAUACUUGGUGUAGCAGUGAAAUGCGUAGAUAUCAAGUGGAACACCAGUGGCGAAGGCGGUCUCUUGGAGCACUCUUGACGCUGAGGCGCGAAAGCUGGGGGAGCGAACGGG
This 253-nucleotide ribosomal RNA is filed under the name uncultured bacterium. RNAcentral describes it as "partial 16S ribosomal RNA". It matches the Rfam family "Bacterial small subunit ribosomal RNA", at positions 524 to 776 of the family's 1533-position model. The record is from RNAcentral.